AUUGAACGCUGGCGGCAUGCCUUACACAUGCAAGUCGAACGGCAGCACGGGAUCAAUCCUGGUGGCGAGUGGCGAACGGGUGAGUAAAGUAUCGGAACGUGCCCAGUCGUGGGGGAUAACGUAGCGAAAGUUACGCUAAUACCGCAUACGAUCUAUGGAUGAAAGCGGGGGAUCGCAAGACCUCGCGCGAUUGGAGCGGCCGAUAUCAGAUUAGGUAGUUGGUGGGGUAAAGGCUCACCAAGCCGACGAUCUGUAGCUGGUCUGAGAGGACGACCGGCCACACUGGGGCUGAGACACGGCCGAGACUCCUACGGGAGGCAGCAGUGGGAAAUUUUGGACAAUGGGCGAAAGCCUGAUCCAGCCAUGCCGCGUGCAGGAUGAAGGCCUUCGGGUUGUAAACUGCUUUUGUACGGAACGAAAAGGUUUGGCCUAAUAAGCUGAGCUCAUGACGGUACCGUAAGAAUAAGCACCGGCUAACUACGUGCCAGCAGCCGCCGUAA
This 500-nucleotide ribosomal RNA is filed under the name uncultured bacterium. Its description in RNAcentral is "partial 16S ribosomal RNA". It matches the Rfam family "Bacterial small subunit ribosomal RNA", at positions 30 to 523 of the family's 1533-position model. The record is from RNAcentral.